This is a long non-coding RNA of Habropoda laboriosa, 211 nucleotides long. RefSeq lists it as uncharacterized. The record is from RefSeq and is a predicted model, not a curated record. The transcript is spliced from 3 exons. NCBI's taxonomy places the organism in Eukaryota, Metazoa, Arthropoda, Insecta, Hymenoptera, Apidae.
CAGAUCUGUUGGCAUAAGCUAAAGCAAGUUCUUUGGAAGGAUUAGGGGCAUAAGCUAUGGAUUGGACUCUUUUGCAUCUUUCAUUCCGCCCCAUAUCUCAGGAAUUAUAUCAUAUUCUAACAUACAAUUAAGGCAGUGAUCCGAAAAUCGUGGGAUGUACCAUUUAGACAGCCGAAUAUGUACCUUAUCUUUAGUAGUAUAGAGGGCAGCA